This 464-nucleotide ribosomal RNA is filed under the name uncultured bacterium. Its description in RNAcentral is "partial 16S ribosomal RNA". It matches the Rfam family "Bacterial small subunit ribosomal RNA", at positions 29 to 507 of the family's 1533-position model. The record is from RNAcentral.
ACGAACGCUGGCGGCGUGCUUAACACAUGCAAGUCGAACGGAAAGGCCCUGCUUGCAGGGUACUCGAGUGGCGAACGGGUGAGUAACACGUGGGUGAUCUGCCCUGCACUUCGGGAUAAGCCUGGGAAACUGGGUCUAAUACCGGAUAGGAGCCAUUUUUAGUGUGAUGGUUGGAAAGUUUUUUCGGUGUAGGAUGAGCUCGCGGCCUAUCAGCUUGUUGGUGGGGUAAUGGCCUACCAAGGCGGCGACGGGUAGCCGGCCUGAGAGGGUGGACGGCCACAUUGGGACUGAGAUACGGCCCAGACUCCUACGGGAGGCAGCAGUGGGAAAUAUUGCACAAUGGGCGCAAGCCUGAUGCAGCGACGCCGCGUGGGGGAUGACGGCCUUCGGGUUGUAAACUCCUUUCGCUAGGGACGAAGCUUUUUGUGACGGUACCUAGAGAAGAAGCACCGGCUAACUACGUG